Molecule: non-coding RNA, 920 nt
Organism: Heterocephalus glaber (naked mole-rat)
Lineage: Eukaryota; Metazoa; Chordata; Mammalia; Rodentia; Bathyergidae
Source: RefSeq, a predicted model, not a curated record
GUGGGGCAUCCAGAAGAGCCUGGUGUAUGGGCUCUCGGGCGCGGGGGCCGCCCUGGUGCUCCUGGUCCUGGUUGUCCUCCUGGUGUUUGCGCUGCACACCAAGAGAGUGGCGGAAAGGCAAAAGUACAGAGUGUCGGAGUUGUACAAGUGGCACGAAGAGGGCAGCAGACCUGCCCCUGGGACCUUCGAGAACACUGGCUUUGAGAUCUGUGAAGAACAAGAACAUUAUGUGCAGCUGGACUCCUUCUACAGUAACUUCAAGCCCUCCCUGAACAACGUGGACCCCAAAAUAAAGAUCCAAAUUCAGAGGCCCGAGGUGAUAAAGACAGCGAUGUGAGAAAACCUCAAUCCGGCCACGCUUGGUGGAGCGUUUCCCCGUUGCAAGCUUCCCGCAGGAACUUCAUGAGAAAAAGCCCUCUUUUUCAAGGAAGCCCUCUUGAUUAAGGAAGAAGAGGACAGAGACAGUACGGAAGCUCCUGUUGCCAUGAUGUCGAGCGCAGCCCUCCCUUCGGCCUUGUUCAGCACCAAGGACAGCGCCCGGCCCCUGGGUGCCCCGGGACAGCUCAGCUGCUGGCCAGACUACACUGCAUUCUGCCAAAUGCUCUUCUCAGGACUGUUGCAUACCGUGCUCGUGAAUAGCAUCUAUUUAAAAACACACUACAUUUAUCUUUGAGUUUCUCAGAUUAUGAGUAUUGUUAAACUUCUUAUAUUUAUGGGUUCUGGUUUGUCAUUAAUAAAUACCCUAAUAUAUAUUUAUAAUAAUUAAAAACAAAAGCAACUUUGUUACACUGUGCAUGGCUCUCAGACCUUUCUCCAGUCGCCACGCUGUACAGGACCGGGUGGGUGUCUCGCCUGCCGGGCUCUGUCCCCUCCUCUCUUUGGAAUGUGGGCCCUGCGGCGCUUGUGCCUGGAGACGAUUC